This 28-nucleotide non-coding RNA is filed under the name Homo sapiens (human). Lineage: Eukaryota; Metazoa; Chordata; Mammalia; Primates; Hominidae. The record is from RNAcentral.
UCAAAAUGCUAGGUGCAGAGCUAUGGCC